GACGAACGCUGGCGGCGUGCUUAACACAUGCAAGUCGAACGGAAAGGCCCUGCUUUUGUGGGGUGCUCGAGUGGCGAACGGGUGAGUAACACGUGAGUAACCUGCCCUUGACUUUGGGAUAACUUCAGGAAACUGGGGCUAAUACCGGAUAGGAGCUCCUGCUGCAUGGUGGGGGUUGGAAAGUUUCGGCGGUGGGGGAUGGACUCGCUGCUUAUAAGCUUGUUGGGGGGGUAGUGGCUUACCAAGGCUUUGACGGGUAGCCGGCCUGAGAGCGUGACCGGCCACAUUGGGCCUGCGAUACGGCCCAGACUCCUACGGGCGGCAGCAGUGGGGAAUAUUGCACAAUGGGCGGAAGCCUGAUGCAGCAACGCCGCGUGCGGGAUGACGGCCUUCGGGUUGUAAACCGCUUUCGCCUGUGACGAAGCGUGAGUGACGGUAAUGGGUAAAGAAGCACCGGCUAACUACGUG
Molecule: ribosomal RNA, 468 nt
Filed under: uncultured bacterium
Lineage: Bacteria
Description: partial 16S ribosomal RNA
Rfam family: Bacterial small subunit ribosomal RNA
Source: RNAcentral